GAUGAACGCUGGCGGCGUGCCUAACACAUGCAAGUCGAACGAAGCACCUGCGCGGAGCCCUUCGGGGUGAAGCGCUUGUGACUGAGUGGCGGACGGGUGAGUAACGCGUGGGCAACCUGCCCUAUACCGGGGGACAACAGCUGGAAACGGCUGCUAAUACCGCAUAAGCGCACGAGGCCGCAUGGCCAUGUGUGAAAAACUCCGGUGGUAUAGGAUGGACCCGCGUCCGAUUAGCUAGUUGGUGGUGUAACGGACCCCCAAGGCGACGAUCGGUAGCCGGCCUGAGAGGGCGGACGGCCACAUUGGGACUGAGACACGGCCCAGACUCCUGCGGGAGGCAGCAGUGGGGGAUAUUGCACAAUGGGGGAAACCCUGAUGCAGCGACGCCGCGUGAGUGAAGAAGUAUCUCGGUAUGUAAAGCUCUAUCAGCAGGGAAGAAAAUGACGGUACCUGACUAAGAAGCCCCGGCUAACUACGUGCCAGCCGCCGCCGUAACAC
This 498-nucleotide ribosomal RNA is filed under the name uncultured bacterium. RNAcentral describes it as "bacterial SSU rRNA". It matches the Rfam family "Bacterial small subunit ribosomal RNA", at positions 28 to 526 of the family's 1533-position model. The record is from RNAcentral.